UUGCGCAUGGGCGAAAGCCUGNCGCAGCCAUGCCGCGUGAAUGAUGAAGGUCUUAGGAUUGUAAAAUUCUUUCACCGGGGACGAUAAUGACGGUACCCGGAGAAGAAGCCCCGGCUAACUUCGUGCCAGCAGCCGCGGUAAUACGAAGGGGGCUAGCGUUGCUCGGAAUUACNUGGGCGUAAAGGGAGCGUAGGCGGAUAGUUUAGUCAGAGGUGAAAGCCCAGGGCUCAACCUUGGAAUUGCCUUUGAUACUGGCUAUCUUGAGUACGGAAGAGGUAUGUGGAACUCCGAGUGUAGAGGANAAAUUCGUAGAUAUUCGGAAGAACACCAGUGGCGAAGGCGACAUACUGGUCCGUUACUGACGCUGAGGCUCGAAAGCGUGGGGAGCAAACAGGAUUAGAUACCCUGGUAGUCCACGCUGUAAACGAUGAGUGCUAGUUGUCGGCAGGCAUGCCUGUCGGUGACGCAGCUAACGCAUUAAGCACUCCGCCUGGGGAGUACGGUCGCAAGAUUAAAACUCAAAAAAAUUGACGGA
Molecule: ribosomal RNA, 535 nt
Filed under: uncultured bacterium
Lineage: Bacteria
Description: bacterial SSU rRNA
Rfam family: Bacterial small subunit ribosomal RNA
Source: RNAcentral